This 23-nucleotide small nuclear RNA is filed under the name Arabidopsis thaliana (thale cress). RNAcentral describes it as "snRNA_17788". The record is from RNAcentral. Lineage: Eukaryota; Viridiplantae; Streptophyta; Magnoliopsida; Brassicales; Brassicaceae.
AAACUGCCGGCAACCGGCGACAA